This 85-nucleotide transfer RNA is filed under the name Sphingobacteriales bacterium. It matches the Rfam family "tRNA". From Rfam's summary of the family: Transfer RNA (tRNA) molecules are approximately 80 nucleotides in length. Their secondary structure includes four short double-helical elements and three loops (D, anti-codon, and T loops). Lineage: Bacteria; Pseudomonadati; Bacteroidota; Sphingobacteriia; Sphingobacteriales. The record is from Rfam by way of RNAcentral.
GCCCUGGUGGUGAAAUGGUAGACACGAGGGACUUAAAAUCCCUUGAGCCGCAAUGCUCGUGCCGGUUCGAGUCCGGCCUGGGGCA